This 827-nucleotide unclassified non-coding RNA is filed under the name Hevea brasiliensis (rubber tree). Lineage: Eukaryota; Viridiplantae; Streptophyta; Magnoliopsida; Malpighiales; Euphorbiaceae. The record is from RNAcentral.
UGAGACCUGGAGAACCAGCUCUUGGAUCACCGAGAUUAAGAGCGAUCACCUUGUCAACAUCACAGUAAACACCAGCAAAGUUACAAGGAUCGGAAGUAAAGUCCCAGGAAGCGAAGAAGUUGGAGCCCGGCAUAUCAUCUAGCGCCUUUCUAAUGGAUUGCAAAGCCAAGAAAUCAAUAGGGUCCAAAAUUGCAAGCACAAAGAAUUUACAUUGAAGAAGAAAGAAAGCCAGGAAAAUGCAAGAAACUAGAACUCUAAGCUUGUGGUCUGCCAUUUGCAUAUAUUAAGAAGUUGAGUGAAGGAAAGGCUUAUAUAGAGAAGUAAAGAGUGAGGCUUAGAGAAGAGACGAGUGCUUUUCCGUGAGAGAAGUGAACCGAUUUCUCGUGGGAAAUGGCGUGAAAGCUUAAAUAGCGAAACUAUCAGCAUCAAAAGAUUGUAGAAAGAAACAGUGGCUUUGAAGAGAAGCAACAAGAGUAGGCAGUGGAGUCUUAUUCUUGAAUCUUCCUCUCUCAGAGAUUACUUUUUCAUUAUUUUGGCUUCUGAGAGAAGACGAAACCACACUCCCUUUCUCUCCGCCGCGCGUGUCCUUGUGCUGCAUCUACAUACUACACUGUGUAUUUUAUUUUUGUUAAUUGUUUGUUUAUUGGAGUUUUGGUUCGGAGGGAAACGGUUGUCUGAGCCACGUUGGAGGGGAUGUCAGGAGGGAGGCGUCAAGUGACAGCGAGGUUCAUGCCUAUAAAGGAAGGAAGCAACUAGGGAAUACUACCAACAGUGCACCAUUACAGUGAAAGCGGUUUUAAUGAUAGAGUGAACAGAGGUUGCAUGCU